RNAcentral lists this ribosomal RNA (450 nucleotides) under uncultured bacterium. RNAcentral's name for it is "partial 16S ribosomal RNA". It matches the Rfam family "Bacterial small subunit ribosomal RNA", at positions 354 to 796 of the family's 1533-position model. The record is from RNAcentral.
GUGGGGAAUAUUCCGCAAUGGACGAAAGUCUGACGGAGCAACGCCGCGUGAGUGAUGAAGGUUUUCGGACUGUAAAGCUCUGUUGUUUAGGACGAAAGUGCCUGUUACAAACAGUUACAGGUAUUGACGGUACUAAACGAGGAAGCCACGGCUAACUAAGUGCCAGCAGCCGCGGUAAUACGUAGGUGGCAAGCGUUGUCCGGAAUUAUUGGGCGUAAAGAGCAUGUAGGCGGGAAUCUAAGUCUGUUGUGAAAAUGCGGGGCUCAACCCCGUAUUGCGAUGGAAACUGGGUUUCUUGAGUGCAGGAGAGGAAAGGGGAAUUCCCAGUGUAGCGGUGAAAUGCGUAGAUAUUGGGAGGAACACCAGUGGCGAAGGCGCCUUUCUGGACUGUGUCUGACGCUGAGAUGCGAAAGCCAGGGUAGCGAACGGGAUUAGAUACCCGAGUAGUCC